Non-coding RNA from Cercophora newfieldiana, 110 nucleotides. The record is from the annotation of a GenBank genome assembly. NCBI's taxonomy places the organism in Eukaryota, Fungi, Ascomycota, Sordariomycetes, Sordariales, Lasiosphaeriaceae.
GGCACCAUGGCAGAGCGGUUAAUGCGGUAGAUUUAAGAAAAGAGAGUUAAUCUCGGGUUCUUUCAUCUCUACUCUCGAAAGAGGCGUGGGUUCGAACCCCACUGGUGUCA